Dipodomys ordii (Ord's kangaroo rat) is the source of this 65-nucleotide non-coding RNA. Lineage: Eukaryota; Metazoa; Chordata; Mammalia; Rodentia; Heteromyidae. The record is from Rfam.
GGUGGCUCAGUGGUAGAGCACUUGCCUCGCAUGCACGAGGCCCUGUGUUCAAUUCCUCAGCACCA